AGUGAACGCUGGCGGCGUGCCUAAUACAUGCAAGUCGAACGAAGUGGCGCACGGGUGAGUAAUAUAUAGUUAAUCUGCCCUACACAGAGGAACAACAGUUGGAAACGACUGCUAAUACCUCAUAGUGUAGGAUGAGCCUAUAUCGUAUCAGCUAGUUGGUAAGGUAAUGGCUUACCAAGGCUAUGACGCGUAACUGGUCUGAUAGGAUGAUCAGUAAAAUUGGAAAUGAGGCAAGGGUAAAACGCCUACGGGAAGGAGCAGGAAGGGAUAGGGGGCAAGGGGUGAAACCCUAGAGGAGGAACGGCGCGGGGAGGAUGAUACUUUUCGGAGCGUAAAAUCCUUUUAUUAGGAAAGCGGUACCUGAUGAAUAAGCACCGGCUAACUCCGUGCCAGCAGCCGCGGUAAUAC
RNAcentral lists this ribosomal RNA (408 nucleotides) under uncultured bacterium. Its description in RNAcentral is "partial 16S ribosomal RNA". It matches the Rfam family "Bacterial small subunit ribosomal RNA", at positions 29 to 526 of the family's 1533-position model. The record is from RNAcentral.